This is a non-coding RNA of Gossypium raimondii (Peruvian cotton), 144 nucleotides long. NCBI's taxonomy places the organism in Eukaryota, Viridiplantae, Streptophyta, Magnoliopsida, Malvales, Malvaceae. The record is from Rfam.
UAUUAAAAAUUUCAUCCAUUUGCACUGUUAAAAAUUAACGUAGCUGACAGAAUAACCAGACAAUAACGCGUAAUAUACCAUAUAUACGUCAUGUUGACAUACAAGAUUCGAUUUUAAUAAUAAAAAUGAACGAAAUUUUUAAUA